This 348-nucleotide long non-coding RNA is filed under the name Vigna radiata. RNAcentral's name for it is "long non-coding RNA (VRAD_LNC016071)". Lineage: Eukaryota; Viridiplantae; Streptophyta; Magnoliopsida; Fabales; Fabaceae. The record is from RNAcentral.
GGGGGAAGGCAAAACCCUUGGGUCAAGUUCAUGGGCCUCACAUGCACAAAUUAAUUUGGCAAAUUUAAUAAUCAUUGUUGUAUCUUACUUGAUUUCAGCGUAUGUAUGUGGUGAGGGAGGAGAAGAAGGAAAUUAAAGAGGUUAUGAAGGACUUGGGGAUUAGCAGGUUUGUCAAAAUCAUUCUAAAUUGUUGUAAUUAUUCCAUUAGUUCCUUAAAGACACGAACACUUCUUUAGAAACCGCAUUUGGCCCACGAUGGAGGAAGAGGAAACAUCAGAGUGAGGUGGUUGUUCGAUGUCGAUGUGAUUGGAACGGGAAGUGGAGACGGAGUCGGAGGUGGAGACAGAG